GGAAACCGGACCGCUACCGGCGCUAGGAUCCAGGUCGGCUUAAGGCCGCCGGAACCCGUAGCAAGCCAAACAUACAUCCUGUGAACCUGUUCAAUCCCAUACAUGAACCAAAACAUACAUAAAAAUUUAAACUUUUCUUUCAUUCACACAUUUCUUUACCCAGCCUAGCCUGUGCAUGCAUAAACAUAACAUAAACCCCUCAGUGGAGUUCUCAACAAUUACUCCAAUGGGGUACAUAACAUAUAGCAGGCUUGGGUUACAUAAACAUCAUAAAACAUUUAUCUCAUGUAUUUAAGGGAUUACAACAGACUCUAGUCAAGCACACUAUAAAACUUACAUUACAUUACAUAACAUACUUUUACAUUACAACUAAACCAUGUCCACUUCUAUGCUAUUACAGA
This 401-nucleotide long non-coding RNA is filed under the name Manihot esculenta (cassava). RNAcentral's name for it is "long non-coding RNA (MESC_LNC010118)". Lineage: Eukaryota; Viridiplantae; Streptophyta; Magnoliopsida; Malpighiales; Euphorbiaceae. The record is from RNAcentral.